This 74-nucleotide transfer RNA is filed under the name Planctomycetota bacterium. RNAcentral's name for it is "tRNA-Arg". It matches the Rfam family "tRNA". From Rfam's summary of the family: Transfer RNA (tRNA) molecules are approximately 80 nucleotides in length. Their secondary structure includes four short double-helical elements and three loops (D, anti-codon, and T loops). The record is from RNAcentral. Lineage: Bacteria; Pseudomonadati; Planctomycetota.
GUCCCUGUAGCUCAGUGGAUAGAGCACUGGUUUCCUAAACCGGGGGUCGCAGGUUCAAGUCCUGCCGGGGACGC